AGCUUAAAGUUUGAUUCUUGCUUAUGGUGUUUAUAUUAUGAUUGAAAAAUACAUGAAAAUUAUAGUGUUCUUUUAUGUUWUAAAUUAAAAAUUUAUGUAACAUUAAUCUCAGUAUUUAGUUUUAAAUAUUAAUUAAAAUUAGAGUUGGUAAUCAUUUUAAUCCUGACUAAAAUUUGUGCCAGCAGUCGCGGUUAUACUUAGGGGGUAAAUAAAUACAAUUUGGUAUUAUAGUAGACUGUUAGUUAACUAAAAUUUAUUAUUUUUUUUAAAGGGUGAAAUCAGAAUUUAAUCAUAAUAAUAAUUUUAAAA
RNAcentral lists this ribosomal RNA (309 nucleotides) under Cryptolithodes sitchensis. RNAcentral's name for it is "partial 12S ribosomal RNA". The record is from RNAcentral. Lineage: Eukaryota; Metazoa; Arthropoda; Malacostraca; Decapoda; Lithodidae.